UACGAAGGUGGCAAGCGUUGUCCGGAAUUACUGGGUGUAAAGGGCGUGUAGGCGGGAUAGCAAGUCAGAUGUGAAAUUACGGGGCUCAACCCCGGCGCUGCAUCUGAAACUGUUAUUCUUGAGUGUCGGAGAGGAAAGUGGAAUUCCCAGUGUAGCGGUGAAAAGCGUAGAGAUUGGGAGGAACACCAGUGGCGAAGGCGGCUUUUUGGACGAUAACUGACGCUGAGGCGCGAAAGCGUGGGGAGCAAACAGG
This 253-nucleotide ribosomal RNA is filed under the name uncultured bacterium. RNAcentral describes it as "partial 16S ribosomal RNA". It matches the Rfam family "Bacterial small subunit ribosomal RNA", at positions 524 to 776 of the family's 1533-position model. The record is from RNAcentral.